RNAcentral lists this ribosomal RNA (207 nucleotides) under uncultured bacterium. RNAcentral's name for it is "partial 16S ribosomal RNA". It matches the Rfam family "Bacterial small subunit ribosomal RNA", at positions 568 to 774 of the family's 1533-position model. The record is from RNAcentral.
CUCGUAGGCGGUUCGUCGCGUCCGGUGUGAAAGUCCAUCGCUUAACGGUGGAUCCGCGCCGGGUACGGGCGGGCUUGAGUGCGGUAGGGGAGACUGGAAUUCCCGGUGUAACGGUGGAGUGUGUAGAUAUCGGGAAGAACACCAAUGGCGAAGGCAGGUCUCUGGGCCGUCACUGACGCUGAGGAGCGAAAGCGUGGGGAGCGAACA